UUGUCUUAGUUGUGUGUUGCACCGCGUUUGGUGGAAGAAACAAGAAAUUGUGGUCAGAUUCAAGCCAAUGAAAGUAAAUGAGAGAAGAGUGGGUCUCAUUCACUAACCGUAUUUGUGUGUAUGUGAAUGUUUUUGCACAGAAAUCAUAAUUCACUAAUAUCUUAGCACUUCGAGUUUUUUCUACAUUUAACAUAAAAUUUAGAACCAACUAAAACGUUAUGUAUGUAUGUAUGUAAAAAUCAGUCCUGGUGGCCUUAGAAACAUGAAAUGGUUUAAGCCGAAAAGUUUAUAUGGACUAAAUUAAAUUUGAACAGCUGAGUGACCCAAAAAUUAUUUAGCAUUUAAAAAAGACACAUUUUAGAUCUGCAAUGGGUUCUGCAUAAAAAUGUGUUGUUAUAUAAAAGGUCUUUAUUUUGUAUUUAAAAGCCAUUAUAUGGAGAUGGUUAGGCCACUAAUUAUGCUGACUGCUAACUUUAGGGACGUUUAUGUAGAAUAAUCUGGAUUCUGGAAAGAUGGUAAGAGCAAAUUUACAUGCCAACCUGUUGAGAGUAAUCAGGUGGAAAUUUUGUGUAAGAACCAUUUCUGUGCACAUAAGAAUACAGUUAUAAGUGAAUGUUGCAAAGUAUUAAACUCACAUUGAAAUGGAAGUAGCGACAGGUAUUUUAUUCCAUAUUGUGGUGUACAUCUGAGUGAAAUGGAUAUUUGGAAAAGAAAAAAAAUGUUAGGUGGUGCCUUGGUUUUAUCCACUGCUGUGUUGAUUGCAGUCGAUUGUAAGAAAGAGGCGGAGUUUAUGCACUCUAAAUGAUUGGAGAAAUGAACAUACAUCAUCAUAGGGAAGUCUGUCAUUUUCAGGUUUUCGUUUUAAGCCGAGCAAGGCCACUUUGGCCAUUUCUAGAAAUCUUGCUGUGGGUGCCAUGAGAGAAAGCUCCAUCUGUAUUAGAUUGAAAGUAAUUUUUUCUUUGAAGUUCAAAUGAAUGGAAAUUAAAUGGAUGAAUUUUUGACAGUUGUAUCUUUCGGAAAAGAAAAAGGAAUGUUUACGUGCAGAAGAAAAUACAUGAAAGCAUCAAUUCAAUGUUUCUUGGCUCUAACAGUGACAGUGAAACGGUGUAAAGCCACCAUUAAGACCUGAACUUUUUGCCCUGUUUUGUUUUUAAUUCUACAGUUCUCCUAUUUAGCAAUGCCAAUUUAUUGCUUUAUUUAAAAACACUAAUGUUCUUUUUAUUUAAUUUAAGUCACAUUUAAUGCAAGUGCAGAUUGCACAAUGCACAUUUCAUGUUAAAAAUAAGGAGUGUUUUGAAAUCUUCAAACUGUUUGUUCUUCAACAUAUUGUCCUGCAGAAGACCUUGUUCUCUUCCAAAAGGUUACACUUCAUGUAAAUUUACACUCCUGAAAAUGUGAGGGCAUUUAUUACCUUAUCUAUUGUGACUACUACACACAAUACCUCUGAUUAUCCUGUGCUGUGUAUUUCAUUUGGCCUAAUGAAUAACGCAUAUAUAUAUGCAUAAAGACACUUCACAGGUUUUCUGAAGCAAUAGAGAGAUAACAGUGCUUUUCCUUUUUCGUUUGUGUGCCGAACUAUGUAUAUGUCAUAUUGCAUAGAAAGUCAUUCUCUUUAACAACAAAAACAGUUAUUUUGUCUCAUUUUAUAUACGGCAUAUGAGGCCAAAUUAAUCAUCUGUUUACCAAUUAUCAAACCUUUGCAGAAGGCCUAUCACAUCCCUCACUGACGAAACAUACUGUGCUGUAACCAAGAGGCUUUUCAAGGAAUUUUCUAGGUUUAAGAUUUAUAGACAGCAUCUGUGUUAUGCUAUCGGUUACCACAUCAUCACUUAGUUUGUAAAACAAAAGCAAUGUCUUUUAAAAUGUAACUCCAACACUGUUGAUAGAUCUUAAAGUGUAUUUAAACCAGAAUAUUUCUAUUACUGAUACAUAAUUGUUGGAAGGUUUAAGAUGUGGGGAAGAGAUUUUUUCCCCCCUUUUCUUUCUUUAAUUUACUGUGCUCAUCGGUGUGCCUUGUUUGUACUUUUUCUUAUUUAUAUACAUGUUGCCUAAUUAUGUUAGUGUUUGCUGUGUCAAUCAAAUACAAUCAACCUUACAUAUUCAUGAAUUGCUAAAAAUUCAAUUUCUAUAGUCACUUGCUAAAAAGUAUGUUUCUUUUUUUCAGAUUGAAUAGUUUUUGGUUCAUGUUGACAACAGCCUCAUGUUUUGUAUUACACUGAACAGGUUGCCAUGUUUUGAUGGUCUUUUAUGACAUUACAGUUAGAAAGGUCUGUGGCCCUAUAGAGAGGUGUCUUUUAUUGACAUUAUUAUGAUAUAAGGGAAAAAGAAAACCUAGAUGUAGAUUUGUUAAUUAUAGUUGGUGUGUUUAGGUUUGCUGGUUUCUUUUUCUUUUCUUUUUCUCCAGAAAAUUUUACAUUGAAAGUGAUGGCCAGUUUUUACAAAUUUGAUAUUUGAUUAAAUCAUCUUGUGUAGUAACGACCAGUUUUUACAUACGUUUCCCCCCCCUAACUUAAGUAUUUAUGGUGGUGGUAUUUUAUCUUUCUUUUUGUUUUUGUUUUUUUUGAGGAAACAUGACCAUUAACAUUACAUUGUCAUUUGCACUUUCAUAGACUAUACUUGAUACAUUCCCAGUUUGUAUGAUGUGUAGCCAAUAAACCGAAAGUAUUGGUAAAGGUUUGCUCGGAUUAAAAAGUUUAAAGUGCA
Sinocyclocheilus grahami is the source of this 2703-nucleotide long non-coding RNA. RefSeq lists it as uncharacterized. The record is from RefSeq and is a predicted model, not a curated record. Lineage: Eukaryota; Metazoa; Chordata; Actinopteri; Cypriniformes; Cyprinidae. The transcript has 2 exons.